RNAcentral lists this ribosomal RNA (772 nucleotides) under uncultured bacterium. RNAcentral describes it as "bacterial SSU rRNA". It matches the Rfam family "Bacterial small subunit ribosomal RNA", at positions 61 to 797 of the family's 1533-position model. The record is from RNAcentral.
GUCGAACGAGUUCUCGUUGAUGAUCGGUGCUUGCACCGAGAUUCAACAUAGAACGAGUGGCGGACGGGUGAGUAACACGUGGGUAACCUGCCCUUAAGUGGGGGAUAACAUUUGGAAACAGAUGCUAAUACCGCAUAGAUCCAAGAACCGCAUGGUUCUUGGCUGAAAGAUGGCGUAAGCUAUCGCUUUUGGAUGGACCCGCGGCGUAUUAGCUAGUUGGUGAGGUAAUGGCUCACCAAGGCGAUGAUACGUAGCCGAACUGAGAGGUUGAUCGGCCACAUUGGGACUGAGACACGGCCCAAACUCCUACGGGAGGCAGCAGUAGGGAAUCUUCCACAAUGGACGCAAGUCUGAUGGAGCAACGCCGCGUGAGUGAAGAAGGCUUUCGGGUCGUAAAACUCUGUUGUUGGAGAAGAAUGGUCGGCAGAGUAACUGUUGUCGGCGUGACGGUAUCCAACCAGAAAGCCACGGCUAACUACGUGCCAGCAGCCGCGGUAAUACGUAGGUGGCAAGCGUUAUCCGGAUUUAUUGGGCGUAAAGCGAGCGCAGGCGGUUUUUUAAGUCUGAUGUGAAAGCCCUCGGCUUAACCGAGGAAGCGCAUCGGAAACUGGGAAACUUGAGUGCAGAAGAGGACAGUGGAACUCCAUGUGUAGCGGUGAAAUGCGUAGAUAUAUGGAAGAACACCAGUGGCGAAGGCGGCUGUCUGGUCUGUAACUGACGCUGAGGCUCGAAAGCAUGGGUAGCGAACAGGAUUAGAUACCCUGGUAGUCCA